GACAGCUCAAAUUUGAAAUCCCCCGGGAAUUGUAAUUUGAAGGUGGCCUCAGUUAGUCCAAACAUUCUUAAGUCCAUUGGAAAAUGGCGCCAUGGAGGGUGAUAGCCCCGUAAAGAUGUCGUUUGUUCUAUUUUCUCUGGCCACCAAAGAGUCNNAGUUGUUUGGGAAUGCAGCUCUAAGUGGGUGGUAAAUUCCAUCUAAAGCUAANUAUUGGCGAGAGACCGAUAGCGAACUAAGUACAGUGAUGGAAAGAUGAANAGCNCUUUGAAAAGAGAGUGAAAAAGUACGUGAAAUUGUUGAACAGGGAAGGGCUUGCAAGCAGACACAACCUCGUGUUGGGCCAGCAUCGGGGCGAGAGGAAGUAAAAACGAUUUGGAAAUGUAACUUUCGAGUAUUAUAGACCUUAUCCCUCCCUUCCAUCUCAUCCCGAGGCCUGCGGUUUAUCCUAAGAUG
This 453-nucleotide ribosomal RNA is filed under the name Metschnikowia australis. Its description in RNAcentral is "eukaryotic LSU rRNA". It matches the Rfam family "Eukaryotic large subunit ribosomal RNA", at positions 103 to 513 of the family's 3401-position model. Lineage: Eukaryota; Fungi; Ascomycota; Pichiomycetes; Serinales; Metschnikowiaceae. The record is from RNAcentral.